GAGCUAAUACCGCGAAAGUUGAGCGUUCACGCUUAUCGGCUGUAAAUCAAGACAGACUCAGGGGUCUGUAGCUCAGUCGGUUAGAGCACCGUCUUGAUAAGGCGGGGGUCGUUGGUUCGAAUCCAACCAGACCCACCAAUUGUCUGGCGGUAGAAACCUGAGACGUCUCUGUAUGGGGGCAUAGCUCAGCUGGGAGAGCACCUGCUUUGCAAGCAGGGGGUCGUCGGUUCGAUCCCGUCUGCCUCCACCAAUCUUCAAUGACAAACGUUCGGGUCAGUUGACUCGAGUCU
This 290-nucleotide unclassified non-coding RNA is filed under the name Burkholderia gladioli. RNAcentral describes it as "partial 16S-23S ribosomal RNA intergenic spacer". The stretch from base 62 to 135 matches the Rfam family "tRNA". The record is from RNAcentral. Lineage: Bacteria; Pseudomonadati; Pseudomonadota; Betaproteobacteria; Burkholderiales; Burkholderiaceae.